GUCCACGCCCUAAACGAUGUCAACUAGGUGUUGGGAGGGUAAAACCUUUUAGUACCGGAGCUAACGCGUGAAGUUGACCGCCUGGGGAGUACGGCCGCAAGGUUAAAACUCAAAGGAAUUGACGGGGACCCGCACAAGCGGUGGAUGAUGUGGAUUAAUUCGAUGCAACGCGAAAAACCUUACCUACCCUUGACAUGUCCGGAAGCCCUUAGAGAUUUGGGUGUGCUCGAAAGAGAGCCGGAACACAGGUGCUGCAUGGCUGUCGU
RNAcentral lists this ribosomal RNA (266 nucleotides) under uncultured bacterium. RNAcentral describes it as "partial 16S ribosomal RNA". It matches the Rfam family "Bacterial small subunit ribosomal RNA", at positions 793 to 1055 of the family's 1533-position model. The record is from RNAcentral.